GUGGAUUAGAUACCCUGGUAGUCCACGCCGUAAACGAUGUCUACUAGCCGUUGGGGUCCUUGAGACUUUAGUGGCGCAGUUAACGCGAUAAGUAGACCGCCUGGGGAGUACGGCCGCAAGGUUAAAACUCAAAUGAAUUGACGGGGGCCCGCACAAGCGGUGGAGCAUGUGGUUUAAUUCGAUGCAACGCGAAGAACCUUACCUGGUCUUGACAUAGUGAGAAUCCUGUAGAGAUGCGGGAGUGCCUUCGGGAAUUCACAUACAGGUGCUGCACGGUCGUCGACAACU
RNAcentral lists this ribosomal RNA (288 nucleotides) under uncultured bacterium. RNAcentral describes it as "partial 16S ribosomal RNA". It matches the Rfam family "Bacterial small subunit ribosomal RNA", at positions 773 to 1060 of the family's 1533-position model. The record is from RNAcentral.